GGGAAACUGCCUGAUGGAGGGGGAUAACUACUGGGAACGGUAGCUAAUACCGCAUAACGUCGCAAGACCAAAGAGGGGGACCUUCGGGCCUCUUGCCAUCAGAUGUGCCCAGAUGGGAUUAGCUAGUAGGUGGGGUAACGGCUCACCUAGGCGACGAUCCCUAGCUGGUCUGAGAGGAUGACCAGCCACACUGGAACUGAGACACGGUCCAGACUCCUACGGGAGGCAGCAGUGGGGAAUAUUGCACAAUGGGCGCAAGCCUGAUGCAGCCAUGCCGCGUGUAUGAAGAAGGCCUUCGGGUUGUAAAGUACUUUCAGCGGGGAGGAAGGGAGUAAGGUUAAUAACCUUAUUCAUUGACGUUACCCGCAGAAGAAGCACCGGCUAACUCCGUGCCAGCAGCCGCGGUAAUACGGAGGGUGCAAGCGUUAAUCGGAAUUACUGGGCGUAAAGCGCACGCAGGCGGUCUGUCAAGUCGGAUGUGAAAUCCCCGGGCUCAACCUGGGAACUGCAUUCGAAACUGGCAGGCUGGAGUCUUGUAGAGGGGGGUAGAAUUCCAGGU
This 559-nucleotide ribosomal RNA is filed under the name uncultured bacterium. RNAcentral describes it as "bacterial SSU rRNA". It matches the Rfam family "Bacterial small subunit ribosomal RNA", at positions 120 to 674 of the family's 1533-position model. The record is from RNAcentral.